This 429-nucleotide ribosomal RNA is filed under the name Chloroflexota bacterium. Its description in RNAcentral is "Chloroflexi bacterium partial 16S ribosomal RNA". It matches the Rfam family "Bacterial small subunit ribosomal RNA", at positions 355 to 776 of the family's 1533-position model. The record is from RNAcentral. Lineage: Bacteria; Bacillati; Chloroflexota.
UGGGGAAUAUUGCACAAUGGGCGCAAGCCUGAUGCAGCCAUGCCGCGUGUGUGAAGAAGGCCUUCGGGUUGUAAAGUACUUUCAGUCGGGAGGAAGGUGUCAAGGUUAAUAACCUUGGCAAUUGACGUUACCGACAGAAGAAGCACCGGCUAACUCCGUGCCAGCAGCCGCGGUAAUACGGAGGGUGCAAGCGUUAAUCGGAAUUACUGGGCGUAAAGCGCACGCAGGCGGUUGAUUGAGUCAGAUGUGAAAUCCCCGGGCUUAACCCGGGAACUGCAUCUGAUACUGGCAAGCUUGAGUCUCGUAGAGGGGGGUAGAAUUCCAGGUGUAGCGGUGAAAUGCGUAGAGAUCUGGAGGAAUACCGGUGGCGAAGGCGGCCCCCUGGACGAAGACUGACGCUCAGGUGCGAAAGCGUGGGGAGCAAACAGG